RNAcentral lists this ribosomal RNA (885 nucleotides) under Emericellopsis tubakii. Its description in RNAcentral is "LSU rRNA". It matches the Rfam family "Eukaryotic large subunit ribosomal RNA", at positions 33 to 954 of the family's 3401-position model. The record is from RNAcentral. Lineage: Eukaryota; Fungi; Ascomycota; Sordariomycetes; Hypocreales; Bionectriaceae.
CUUAAGCAUAUCAAUAAGCGGAGGAAAAAGAAACCAACAGGGAUUGCCCCCAGUAACGGCGAGUGAAGCGGCAACAGCUCAAAUUUGAAAUCUGGCCUUGUGCCCGAGUUGUAAUUUGUAGAGGAUGCUUUUGGCGACGCGCCUUCCGAGUUCCCUGGAACGGGACGCCAUAGAGGGUGAGAGCCCCGUCCGGUCGUGCGCCUAGCCUCUGUAAAGCUCCUUCGACGAGUCGAGUAGUUUGGGAAUGCUGCUCUAAAUGGGAGGUAUACGUCUUCUAAAGCUAAAUACCGGCCAGAGACCGAUAGCGCACAAGUAGAGUGAUCGAAAGAUGAAAAGCACUUUGAAAAGAGGGUUAAAUAGUACGUGAAAUUGCUGAAAGGGAAGCGCUUAUGACCAGACUUGGGCGCGGCGGAUCAUCCGGCGUUCUCGCCGGUGCACUCCACCGCCCCAGGCCAGCAUCAGUUCGCGCCGGGGGAUAAAGGCUUCGGGAAUGUGGCUCCUCCGGGAGUGUUAUAGCCCGUUGUGUAAUACCCUGGUGCGGACUGAGGUCCGCGCUCUGCAAGGAUGCUGGCGUAAUGGUCAUCAGUGACCCGUCUUGAAACACGGACCAAGGAGUCGUCUUCGUAUGCGAGUGUUCGGGUGUCAAACCCCUACGCGGAAUGAAAGUGAACGUAGGAGAGAGCUUCGGCGCAUCUCCGACCGAUCCUGAUGUUCUCGGAUGGAUUUGAGUAAGAGCAUACGGGGCCGGACCCGAAAGAAGGUGAACUAUGCCUGUGUAGGGUGAAGCCAGAGGAAACUCUGGUGGAGGCUCGCAGCGGUUCUGACGUGCAAAUCGAUCGUCAAACAUGGGCAUGGGGCGAAAGACUAAUCGAUCCCGGCGGGGGG